CGCCUUGCCAGCCCGCUCAGAACUUAAAGGAAGUUGACGGGGCCGCACAAGCGGUGGAGUAUGUGGUUUAAUUCGAUGCAAACGCGAAGAACCUUACCUGGUCUUGACAUCCCGGAGACCCUUAGGAAACUAGGGGGUGCUUCCAUCUGGAAGAAUCUGGAGACAGGUGCUGCAUGGCUGUCGUCAGCUCGUGUCGUGAGAUGUUGGGUUAAGUCCCGCAACGAGCGCAACCCUUGCCUUUAGUUGCCAGCAGUUCGGCUGGGCACUCUAAAGGGACUGCCGGUGUUAAACCGGAGGAAGGUGGGGAUGACGUCAAGUCCUCAUGGCCUUUAUGACCAGGGCUACACACGUACUACAAUGGCCGAUACAAAGGGCAGCGACACUGCGAGGUGAAGCCAAUCCCGUAAAAUCGGUCUCAGUCCGGAUUGGAGUCUGCAACUCGACUCCAUGAAGUUGGAAUCGCUAGUAAUCGUGGAUCAGCAUGCCACGGUGAAUACGUUCCCGGGCCUU
Molecule: ribosomal RNA, 510 nt
Filed under: uncultured Desulfobulbus sp.
Lineage: Bacteria; Pseudomonadati; Thermodesulfobacteriota; Desulfobulbia; Desulfobulbales; Desulfobulbaceae
Description: bacterial SSU rRNA
Rfam family: Bacterial small subunit ribosomal RNA
Source: RNAcentral